RNAcentral lists this ribosomal RNA (332 nucleotides) under Protodrilus cf. hochbergi MDD-2014. Its description in RNAcentral is "partial 16S ribosomal RNA". It matches the Rfam family "Bacterial large subunit ribosomal RNA", at positions 1950 to 2524 of the family's 2925-position model. Lineage: Eukaryota; Metazoa; Annelida; Polychaeta; Protodrilidae. The record is from RNAcentral.
GCAAAGGUAGCAUAAUCACUUGCCCUUUAAUUGGGGGCUUGUAUGAACGGAAUAACUUUACUGAACUGUCUCACACAUAGAACCGAAAAUUUAUAUUCAUGUGAAGAAGCCUGAAUCUAAAUGAAGGGCCAAAAGACCCUAUAGAGCUUUAUAGGAAACCAGACUAACUAACUGCAAACCUAUUUCGUUGGGGCGACGAUGGAAAGUAACCCUCCACAACUAAAUUUAUCUCAAAUUAUCUACAGACCCUCAAAUCAGACUAAGAAAAAGCUACCUUAGGGAUAACAGUCUAAUUCUCCUUAAUAGUUCACAUAUACAGGAGAGUUUGGCAC